CAUAGUUACAACUUUGUCUGCUGGAGAAGUGAACAUAAACCCUUGGAGCUGAAGGCAAAGCUCUUCACCCUGGGCGCGGUAGACUAUGCAUCCUUCAAGGUUCCCUCACUUAACAACCAGUUUCCUGCCUUCCCAAGGCCUGCAGUAAUGAAGGGGCAUUCAUAUUUCAUUUGCAUACAAAAUAUAAAUCCCUGUUUCCUUAGCCCUGACAGUGUUCCUCAAUGUUUCUUUAAUAGGAAUUUCCAAAGGACCUGGGAUCUUUUAUGUUUAAAUACAACUCCUUCAGGCCUGCUGAGAUGCUCCUGAGUUUUUGCAUCAAGCAUGCAGGCUACACACUGAGAUGCUACUCAUAUAACUGUAAGGAUUUCCAGUUGAUGCCUAAAUGGAUUUUUCUAGAAGAAAGAGUAUCUUCAGAGAGCAAAUGAAGACCCUUCUUAAUGUAAUAUGAGAAGCAGUUUCAAAUGUCUCAAGACUGCUUUUCCUCCUGACCCUUUAAAUCAACAGCUGGGACUACCAGCUUCAUUUUGUGUUUGUUUUUGACUGCUACCACGCAGACAUCAGCAGGGUAAAGACCACUGCUCCAUGUAUUCAUCUUCGUAGACCCAGGAAGCACAUAAUACAUGUCUGUUGAAUGACUCAAAGAAUUACUGCAGAAAAAUUAUCUUUUGAGACCUUCACUGUUUUCCUAUUGCAUUUCUGUCUGGCAUACUCAAAACAUUGAUUUUUAAACUACUUUAGCAAACCACUAAAAUAAGAGAAGGAAAAAAAAAACCCACAAAAGCAUGCCUUUAACUAUGCGUAGCUUUUUUGUGGUUUUUACUUUUACAUGUGAAAGAUUAUAUUAAAACACUAGCUCGAGAAAAAUGGUUUUUAAUUGUUUUACAUGAUUCAUAAUCUUCAUUACUGUAUAAGGUGCCUGGGACAAGAUAGUCCAAAAACAAAACUAGGAGGGCAACGUAUUUUGUCAAAUUAAACUUGUAAAAGCCAACACGGGAUGCAUCAUUCAGUGAGACACUGUUAGGAGAGUGCCAAG
Molecule: long non-coding RNA, 1033 nt
Filed under: Suricata suricatta (meerkat)
Lineage: Eukaryota; Metazoa; Chordata; Mammalia; Carnivora; Herpestidae
Description: lncRNA (ENSSSUG00005018123.1)
Source: RNAcentral